RNAcentral lists this unclassified non-coding RNA (215 nucleotides) under Hevea brasiliensis (rubber tree). The record is from RNAcentral. Lineage: Eukaryota; Viridiplantae; Streptophyta; Magnoliopsida; Malpighiales; Euphorbiaceae.
AUGAGCUUGUUUUUGCUUAUAGAAAAAUCAUUUUCCGCUACGAUUCACCAUUCCCAUUUUCUCUGCAACUUUCUUCAUAAUCAUAUUCAUACUCAUUUCAAUUCAUCAUCACUCACUCAACGCGAAAAUGAAGACCAUUCUUUCUUCUUCUGCUACUACCUGUGAUUUCUCGCUGAUUCUUUUCCCUCAGCUCUGCCCCAGUAAAAAUUCAAGCC